CGUGGGUAACCUGCCCAAGAGAUCGGGAUAACACCUGGAAACAGAUGCUAAUACCGGAUAACAACAGAUGAUGCCUAUCAACUGUUUAAAAGAUGGUUCUGCUAUCACUCUUGGAUGGACCUGCGGUGCAUUAGCUAGUUGGUAGGGUAACGGCCUACCAAGGCGAUGAUGCAUAGCCGAGUUGAGAGACUGAUCGGCCACAUUGGGACUGAGACACGGCCCAAACUCCUACGGGAGGCGCAGCG
Molecule: ribosomal RNA, 245 nt
Filed under: uncultured Lactobacillus sp.
Lineage: Bacteria; Bacillati; Bacillota; Bacilli; Lactobacillales; Lactobacillaceae
Description: partial 16S ribosomal RNA
Rfam family: Bacterial small subunit ribosomal RNA
Source: RNAcentral